Molecule: long non-coding RNA, 309 nt
Filed under: Ananas comosus (pineapple)
Lineage: Eukaryota; Viridiplantae; Streptophyta; Magnoliopsida; Poales; Bromeliaceae
Description: long non-coding RNA (ACOM_LNC016723)
Source: RNAcentral
CCCACACGGAAGCUUUUGUUUUUAAACUCUAAUUCAUUCAUUCAUAAAAACCAUUCGAAAACCUCUUUAAAAUUGUUUCCCACACGGAAACUCUAUUUUGAAAACCGACUACCUCGAGGGGUAGAAAACCACGAUUCGUAAAUCUAUAAAUACAGAUCUGAGAGCCACAAAGUACACAGACAUCCAAAACUGAAAAUCCAUAAACCAAAUCCACAAAUCCAUAGAAGCCAAUCCACGAGCAUUCAAACAUCAAGUAUGAUCCUCUAACUGAACCAUAUAAUAUCAAAACUAUUAAUAACCAAAGUAAAC